RNAcentral lists this long non-coding RNA (260 nucleotides) under Solanum lycopersicum (tomato). RNAcentral describes it as "partial TCONS_00011405". The record is from RNAcentral. Lineage: Eukaryota; Viridiplantae; Streptophyta; Magnoliopsida; Solanales; Solanaceae.
CGUAAUCACCGGAUACUCAACGAGCCUCUCCACUGUGCCAUUAGAAUUGAACAAAUCAUGAACAGGAACAGAUACCUCACCAAUAUCUUUAUCACCUAAAGUACGGUCAGAUUUGAGACGAAAAACGAGAGAUCACUUUGAUGUCUAAUGGACGCAACUCCAUUGUUGAUAUUGGAUUGUUGAAGAAAACAGGUAAAAUAUUUGUUAAAAUGAAAAAUAGUUUGUUGAAACUAACUCCGAUAAAUUCUGUUUAUGGGGGG